UGAAACCUUGUGAUUUUCCACAAUUCAAACAUGGACGUCUGUAUUAUGAAGAAAGCCGGAGACCCUACUUCCCAGUACCUAUAGGAAAGGAGUACAGCUAUUACUGUGACAACGGGUUUACAACGCCUUCACAGUCAUACUGGGACUACCUUCGUUGCACAGUAAAUGGGUGGGAGCCUGAAGUUCCAUGCCUCAGGCAAUGUAUUUUCCAUUAUGUGGAAUAUGGAGAAUCUUUAUACUGGCAAAGAAGAUAUAUAGAGGGUCAGUCUGCAAAAGUCCAGUGUCACAGUGGCUAUAGUCUUCCAAAUGGUCAAGAUACAAUAUUAUGUACAGAAAAUGGCUGGUCCCCUCCUCCCAAAUGCGUCCGUAUCAAAACUGAUUGUGACAACUUGCCCACAUUUGAAAUUGCCAAACCGAC
RNAcentral lists this long non-coding RNA (418 nucleotides) under Rattus norvegicus (Norway rat). Its description in RNAcentral is "long non-coding RNA NONRATT008780". Lineage: Eukaryota; Metazoa; Chordata; Mammalia; Rodentia; Muridae. The record is from RNAcentral.